GCCGAAGUGGUGGAAUUGGUAGACACGCAGGCUUGAGGGGUCUGUGGGGGAAACCUCGUGCCGGUUCGAGUCCGGCCUUCGGCA
This 84-nucleotide transfer RNA is filed under the name Fidelibacterota bacterium. RNAcentral's name for it is "tRNA-Leu". It matches the Rfam family "tRNA". Rfam says of the family: Transfer RNA (tRNA) molecules are approximately 80 nucleotides in length. Their secondary structure includes four short double-helical elements and three loops (D, anti-codon, and T loops). The record is from RNAcentral. Lineage: Bacteria; Pseudomonadati; Fidelibacterota.